CCUGCAUGUAAAAUACCCCCUCCUUUGCUAUGGACAGCAUGAAGGAAACAAAGUGACUGACCACACAUUUUCAGAAUGAGUGUUUUGAUGGAUGAUCUUCCUAUGGAAAACAAUGUGCCAGAAAAUGCAGGUGUUCUGGACGCUUGGCCAGCGAGUUUCUUUUUGACCUGAAUUUGUGUCAUUUAAAUAGUCACCUUUUUGCCUUCCUUCUGCUUCUUCCUUGCAUUUUCAUCCCCCAUGACCAUAUUCCAUUUGGCUAUUAGAGAUCCUGUUGCAGUGAGCGGAGCUCUCAUUUCAUCUGUAUUCACUUCAACAGCUUUGGUUCUACGUAUUUUCAAUUCUGUACAUUUCAGACCACUUAGCAUGCCCUUAUGUCCAUAUUUCAUAUAUAAGCUCGAGAUUCACAUGUGGAAGCUAAUGUCAGUUACACCUUUUGUAAGAUUUUUUACUUUUUUGCUAACCAAGCCUGCUCUAAAAAAAUAAAUUCUGUGGCAGUUCAAUGCUAUUGAAUGGACUACCUGAAGGAAAAUGCCUGGGUUAAGAAAGUAAGUACUUUUAUCAACCUGUAAUUUACAUAGCUGUUAAUUAUUAACAUAGUUAAUACAAUCCCUCUAAGCCAAACAUUGUGAAUUUGAACAUGGAUAUAAAAUUUUCCAAGACCAGUAGCCAUCUGCUGACUAAUGCUGGAGGGAUCAGAAGGCAUUAUCUACUGUAGGAUUUGUACUCUGAUCCUUUUCUGGGUUUCUACUAAUGUAGUGGCUCUGCUGCUCACAGAUACAUCUCAGUAUUUAUUCAUUUUGCAUGGACAUUUUGCCAGAAUGUAAUCCAGCUUCACCCCUGAUAAACAGGAUCAGGUACACUGAGUUUCUUAUUGUGUACAUUUUGUUCAGAACUUCUCAAAGCCUACUGCAUUUUACACUUACAUUGCUGUUUCUUAGCUUCUGUACAAAGGAGUGCUUUUGAUAUCAUUAUGCAUACUUACUGCAUGCUUUCCAGAUACUUUACAGUAAGCAAGCAAUGGUAGAAGAUGGUUUCUCUUAGAAAUUUUCUCAUGCUGAAAGUAUUUCCCCCACUAAAUAACAACAGCCUUUUAUUGUUAUUACACACAGUUCCAAAACCUGAACAGUUCCUUUCCUAAAGCCAUGCCAAAGGUGUGAGAUCUCUGCCUUAAGUGCAAAACAAAACUUUGCCAGCUAUACAUGAAUACUAACAAUUUUACCUACCUGUCAGAAAUUGUGAUGGCCAAAUCUGAAGUAGGUGGCUAUUUCUACUCUUUUACAGUGCUCCUCAGCGCAGUCACUGAAGCCUGGUAAUACAUGACAGGAUUAUGAAUGGGCUACUAACAAUUUCACUUGAAAAUGUUUGAACAGAACUCCCACUUAAUCCAAGUGCAGCUGUAGUAUAAGUUUUGGUUUUGUUUUUUCUUAGUAUAGCAGUAAGAAGCUUGUAUUCCCUGUAUUCUUAAUUGAUUUAAGCUCUUCUGAGAAGCUCACUAAAUGAACAUAAAUAGGAAAGUUUGGCUCAAAAUAUGAUUCAGCAUUUUAGUUACAAUCCAGUCUCUUGUUAUUUAAAAUUUACACACAAAAUGUGUAAUUAGUGUGUGAAUGGUUUCUGUAUUUGCUUCAUAAAUGUAUAUCUAGAUUGGAUGCAUCAGAAAAUUGCACAUAUGGGUGCCAUAAUGUCUAGAGGAUUUUGCAAAGUGCAGUGAAGACUCGUAGGUCCAAAUAAAAUAUCCUUACUUAAACUUUUGGGGUAAUACAGAGCUCUAGACAGUCAUCCGAAAAUAUUUAGCCAAAAGAGAUGGAGUUUGCAGUGCAAGGGGACAAUCUCAGUAACUGCUAUUCAAAAUUCAAUCCAAUGGUAUUAUAAAUGCUAAAGCUGUGCAAGUUGAAUUUUGUACAUGGGAAGUUCCCUUGAGUAAAUGUUUCACUCCUAUAAUACUGAUUAGCCAACAAGGCAAUUCUAUCACUUGAAGGUAAGGUGGUUUAACAUCAGUAUUUCUUUGUUUCAUAAUUCCAUGCUGAACCUCAGAUCCCUAGACUGAGGAUGAAGAUCAGCCCCUGAUGCUUUGAAAGAGAGUGCAACAGUGUUGCUUCCUCCUCUUUGAUGCCCCAAGCUCAGUACUGCA
RNAcentral lists this long non-coding RNA (2128 nucleotides) under Gallus gallus (chicken). RNAcentral's name for it is "long non-coding RNA NONGGAT002882". The record is from RNAcentral. Lineage: Eukaryota; Metazoa; Chordata; Aves; Galliformes; Phasianidae.